UGUCUCCUCCAAUCCUCCUCCUUUGGUGGAUACUCUGCCCGGCUCAUCACUGAGCUGGGCAUUUUUUU
This is a non-coding RNA of Thiobacillus sp. SCN 63-57, 68 nucleotides long. The record is from Rfam. Lineage: Bacteria; Pseudomonadati; Pseudomonadota; Betaproteobacteria; Nitrosomonadales; Thiobacillaceae.